This 515-nucleotide ribosomal RNA is filed under the name Lacticaseibacillus rhamnosus. RNAcentral's name for it is "bacterial SSU rRNA". It matches the Rfam family "Bacterial small subunit ribosomal RNA", at positions 213 to 720 of the family's 1533-position model. Lineage: Bacteria; Bacillati; Bacillota; Bacilli; Lactobacillales; Lactobacillaceae. The record is from RNAcentral.
UAUCACUUCUGGAUGGACCCGCGGCGCAUUAGCUAGUUGGUGAGGUAACGGCUCACCAAGGCGAUGAUGCGUAGCCGACCUGAGAGGGUAAUCGGCCACAUUGGGACUGAGACACGGCCCAGACUCCUACGGGAGGCAGCAGUAGGGAAUCUUCCACAAUGGACGCAAGUCUGAUGGAGCAACGCCGCGUGAGUGAAGAAGGGUUUCGGCUCGUAAAGCUCUGUUGUUAAAGAAGAACGUGGGUGAGAGUAACUGUUCACCCAGUGACGGUAUUUAACCAGAAAGCCACGGCUAACUACGUGCCAGCAGCCGCGGUAAUACGUAGGUGGCAAGCGUUAUCCGGAUUUAUUGGGCGUAAAGCGAGCGCAGGCGGUCUUUUAAGUCUAAUGUGAAAGCCUUCGGCUCAACCGAAGAAGUGCAUUGGAAACUGGGAGACUUGAGUGCAGAAGAGGACAGUGGAACUCCAUGUGUAGCGGUGAAAUGCGUAGAUAUAUGGAAGAACACCAGUGGCGAAG